RNAcentral lists this long non-coding RNA (224 nucleotides) under Mytilus galloprovincialis (Mediterranean mussel). The record is from RNAcentral. Lineage: Eukaryota; Metazoa; Mollusca; Bivalvia; Mytilida; Mytilidae.
GGAUUUUACUAACCUCUGUGGAUCCGUAGGAGGUCAGUAGUGAACCAUAUAACUUAUAUUCUGAGGACAUUUCGUAGAAAAACGUUUUAAUUCCGAUGACGAAGUUCGACGUUCAUGAAAACUUACAAGGUAAAGAAAACUGACUCAAACAUUUAAAUCGUAUGCAGUUAUUUUACACCGAAAAGACUUUCCUUAAUUAACUCUACCAACAUGUCAAUCCUCCC